This 384-nucleotide ribosomal RNA is filed under the name uncultured bacterium. RNAcentral's name for it is "bacterial SSU rRNA". It matches the Rfam family "Bacterial small subunit ribosomal RNA", at positions 30 to 417 of the family's 1533-position model. The record is from RNAcentral.
AUUGAACGCUGGCGGCAUGCCUUACACAUGCAAGUCGAACGGCAGCGGACCUUCGGUGCCGGCGAGUGGCGAACGGGUGAGUAAUAUAUCGGAACGUACCUUUCAGUGGGGGAUAACGUAGCGAAAGUUACGCUAAUACCGCAUAUUCUGUGAGCAGGAAAGCAGGGGAUCGCAAGACCUUGCGCUGAUUGAGCGGCCGAUAUCAGAUUAGCUAGUUGGUGAGGUAAAGGCUCACCAAGGCGACGAUCUGUAGCGGGUCUGAGAGGAUGAUCCGCCGCACUGGAACUGAGACACGGUCCAGACUCCUACGGGAGGCAGCAGUGGGGAAUUUUGGACAAUGGGCGCAAGCCUGAUCCAGCCAUGCCGCGUGAGUGAAGAAGGCCU